CCUACGGGAGGCAGCAGUGAGGAAUAUUGGUCAAUGGACGAGAGUCUGAACCAGCCAAGUAGCGUGAAGGAUGACUGCCCUAUGGAUUGUAAACUUCUUUUAUAAAGGAAUAAAACGAGGCACGUGUGCCUUUUUGCAUGUACUUUAUGAAAAAGGAUCGGCUAACUCCGUGCCAGCAGCCGCGGUAAUACGGAGGAUCCGAGCGUUAUCCGGAUUUAUUGGGUUUAAAGGGGGCGUAGAUGGGUUGUUAAGUCAGCUGUGAAAGUUUGCGGCUCAACCGUAAAAUUGCAAUUGAUACUGGCAGACUUGAGUACAGUUGAGGUAGGCGGAAUGCGUGGUGUAGCGGUGAAAUGCUUAGAUAUCACGAAGAACCCCGAUUGCGAAGGCAGCUUACUAAACUGUGACUGACAUUGAUGCUCGAAAGUGUGGGUAUCAAACAGGAUUAGAUACCCGAGUAGUC
RNAcentral lists this ribosomal RNA (460 nucleotides) under uncultured bacterium. RNAcentral's name for it is "partial 16S ribosomal RNA". It matches the Rfam family "Bacterial small subunit ribosomal RNA", at positions 338 to 795 of the family's 1533-position model. The record is from RNAcentral.